AAAAAAAAAAAAAAAAAACCAAGUCAGGAGCCUUAGAGGAGCCAAAGAAGUUUAAAAACCACUGCAGAAGGGAGUACUUUGGAUUGAACCUAAGGCCUCAUAACGCAAAGCAGAUACUUUACCACUGAGCUAUACCACCAAACUGACUCAUUUACACCAUGGAAAAAUACAGAUGUGCUGGGGAGUAGAGACGAAACAAUUCUCUGAGGUAAUUAGACUCAGUCAUCUCAACCCUGUGAGGCGAACAGUUCCAUUGCUGCUUCGAGCUGAUUCAAGCCAGGACCCACACAGAUUAUUUGAAUGGCAGUUGACUUUGGAGUGCUUGCUUUGCUGAUGCUUCUCCACCCAAUGCCAUCUUCUGAUGUUUAUGUUUCAAUUCACUGGGUUAAUGAUGGCUGUCUGGACAGCAGCUGAUGAAGGUGACACUACCCGCUUUGCAAUGCUAUAAGGACUAACUUGUGGCAUAUCUAAAGGGUCUGGCUAAGUGUUUAACACAGCAGGUGGAAGUCAUUGAAAUAUCACAAGCAGGGGCCUGGGAGGUCUGCCUCUGAAAGACAGUCUGUCUCCUGUGGAACUCAGGAGGCUAUUCCGUGUCUCAGACAAGAAGUAACGAUAGCCUGUGGACCAAGGGUCUGGGAAAGAGAAGACUGGCAUCCAGGUAUGAGAUUGAAAGAAUAUAGUGACAACAUAGACACCGACUGAGGAAACACAGGCACCUACCUGAAUAACAGGAUGGAUGCCACUGCCCUAGGAUAGGUGUGUAAGGAAGGCAGGUCACGAAGCUGGGUGAUGGUGACUCAGAAGCUAUUCAUCUUUCUGCACCCUCUCAGUUAUAGGCUCUCAGGAUGUUGGUAAUUACAACAUCCUAAAAUACAGCAUUUUCUUUCCUAAAAUACAGCAUUUCCCCCUCCCCUCAUUAAAGGAAUUUUGUAAUGACCACAAUAAAAUGGUUGCACUCUUAAUGUCAUAUUUAAUAGUCAGAAAUAUUAAGGUGGAGCUUCAUGUUAUCACAGCAAUUGAUUUCAAUGCUACCUACGUAGAGUUACACAAAUUCCCACACAAGAGUGCUAUGAAAUCUCUGCCUUCUGUUUGAAAUUCCACACAGAUAAUCUUUCAGUCCUACACCCAAACCAUUGAAUCUUUCUCUUCUCAAACCAACUACAAGGACACCAGCCACUUUCCAGUUCUCUCAAGUGUUACUUAACUACCAACAGCAUUGCAGUACUCCAUAAAUGUGCACACGCAUGCGCGCACACACACACACCUGCAUGCACACACACGUCUGCAUACAAACACAAUCACACGCAUACUAGACACAGCCCAGAGCUUUGGGGUACUAAGUGGAUAUUCUGUCACUGUGCCCCCAGACCACACGACUUCCUUUUUAUAUUCUUAGUGCAUGCGUGUGUGUGUGUGUGUGUGUGUACAUACAGAAGAAGCCUCAGUUCUUUUCAUCUAUCAUGUGAGUCUCCGAGAUCCAACUCAAGUCACCAGUUGGACCAUCUCAUUAACUUGACUUAAAACAAAUGAACAAAGCCCCACAACUUUUAAAAACUUUGCUGCAAUCCCUAGCUAGCCAUUUCCCCUAAGGAGCUCUUUACAUUCCUUAGAACAUGCUAUAGUAAAGUGUGUGUCAUUUCACCUAGGGAGGCUGAGCCUGUAUCAGCAAUCCUCUAAAACUUUUUGAGAAUAGUGAGCCUCAAUAUAGAUUUAUUUGAGAAGGGGGAUUAGAGUGGCCUCAAGAUUUAGAGUGUUAUGCAGGGCAGGGAUAAGAGCCAAAUUUUUGAAAGUUCAAAUUCAGCUCCUGUUGGAAGUUGUUUGCUCGGCACUUCCUGUUUAUUCAGGUAAUAUUACAUCCCUCUGGAGUCGUUGAUGGACUUGAAGACCAGGUAGUUAGAGCUGAAGUUUUCCUCCGUUAUGUUAGAAGGCAAAUUAGGUACAGAGCUUUGGACUCACCAGGAUAGAAGAAAUAAUGGAGUAUUUUCUUCAAAUAAGCCAAAUACAAAUGGACUGGACAUUGUAAAAGUAAUUCUUACCUGAUAAUUAUUCUUAGUAUUUAUAGUUUUAUGUUAGGGUUAAAACCGUUCCUUUUUGUUUAGACAAAAGGGGGGAAAUGUUGCAGAAUAACCUUUUUGUAUAUUGUGAAUAUAUGUUACUCUGAUUGGUUUAAUAAAACGCUGAAUGACCAAUAGCUAGGCAGGAUUUGGGGGGCAGAGAGAAUGCUGGGAAGAAGAAGGCAGAGACAAGAGGAGAUGCAAAACAAGCAGCAUGGACAUUACAAAGUAAAGGUAAUAAAGCCACGAGGCAGAAAGUAAAUGAAUAGGAAUGGGUUAAGUUAUAAGAACUAGUUAGAAACAAGCCUAAGCUACCAGUCAAACUUUGAUAAUUAAUAAGUCUUCGUGUUGUGAUUUAUCCAUUAAAUAGUCAAUCUGUGUUUUCUGCUCCCUCCUAUUUUCCCUUUGCCAGAGAUCUGUAGAAGGAGAGAUUUAGGUUGGUGAAACUGCUGGAGGGAAGCACAGCUGAAGGCCACAUUCUCAAAAGUAAGCUUUUCUCCGCCUCAGCCUUAUGUCAAUGUCAUUUCCAUCUUUUGCCCUGAGUGACAGCAUCCUACCUCUGUGAAGUUCCUGGCCCCACAAUUUCUCCAACAGUGAUGAAGUUCAUUCAACUGCAUAAAUGUGUCUCAUUUGUGCCAAUAUGUGCUUAGUACUGGUGCAGAAACAACGAAUGUGCAGAAUCAUGUUCCUUCAUUGAGGUGAAGCAAGAUUUCAUUUGGAGAUGAAAACUCUGAAUGCCAGAAAGAAUGCGGAUUACAGCAGUAAGAGCAGGUAUGGGGCACAAACUAUAAGGCUAUGUACUUGUCACCUUGGGAACCUUCUGAUGGGUGGCCCACCUAUACAGAGACCUGAGGGAAAGCAGUGUUACCUGCCUGCCUCUGCUUCUUGCUGCUAUGUUCAUGUGUUCCUGCUGUUGCCAUCAAACUCCAGAUUUUUCAGUCUUCCAACAUGGACUGAAGAGGAAUGACUCUUCGUGGAUUUUCUAGGACUUCAGCAUCAGCAUGAGACUGUUAGAGGAUUCAGCUUUAUAGACUGAACAGCUACGAGGUUCUCUGCUGCUAGUAUGAAGAUGGCCAUUGUUGCAUUAUCCAGUGCGGUGGUUUGAAUGUAAUUGACCCCAUAAGCUCAUAGGAAAUGACGCUAUUAGGAGAUGUGGCUUUGUUGAAGUAGGUAUGGCCUUGUUGGAGGAAGUGUGGGUAGGCUUCAAGGUCUCAAAAAUGCUCACACAACAUCCAGUGCUUCAGUUCACUUCCUGUUGCCUUCUGAUCAAGAUGUAGCCAGCAAUCCAUGUCUUCCUGCAUGCUACUGUGCUUCCUGCCAUGAUGAUA
Molecule: non-coding RNA, 3382 nt
Organism: Myodes glareolus (Bank vole)
Lineage: Eukaryota; Metazoa; Chordata; Mammalia; Rodentia; Cricetidae
Source: RefSeq, a predicted model, not a curated record